RNAcentral lists this long non-coding RNA (351 nucleotides) under Olea europaea subsp. europaea. Lineage: Eukaryota; Viridiplantae; Streptophyta; Magnoliopsida; Lamiales; Oleaceae. The record is from RNAcentral.
GUUAUUGUUUACAACGCAUAUUAACUUCCAUUAAACCAUUUUUUAUUUAGUGUUUUCCAGGCAUACUCUACUAUGGAGUUGAAAGCAGAAGUUGCAAAACUGAAGGAAGAAAACCAAGAAUUGCGGAAGAAACUGGGAAGCGUGAAUUUGACUAAUCUCCAUUUCCAUUUCUGUAACUUCUUAUUCUUAUUAAAUUAUAUCUGAUUUAUACCAUUUGGGUAUUCUAUUAUGUAGGCAGGAAUUAUGGAAUUGAUGAGGAAUCAGAUACCUGUCACCGUAAUCUUUCCCUUUAAAAAAAUUUAACUUACAGGUAUUUGGUGAAACCUGGCCAAUUGUUUAUUUUCUACAUUG